RNAcentral lists this ribosomal RNA (727 nucleotides) under uncultured bacterium. RNAcentral's name for it is "bacterial SSU rRNA". It matches the Rfam family "Bacterial small subunit ribosomal RNA", at positions 105 to 834 of the family's 1533-position model. The record is from RNAcentral.
GGUGAGUAAUGCUUGGGAACAUGCCUUGAGGUGGGGGACAACAGUUGGAAACGACUGCUAAUACCGCAUAAUGUCUACGGACCAAAGGGGGCUUCGGCUCUCGCCUUUAGAUUGGCCCAAGUGGGAUUAGCUAGUUGGUGAGGUAAUGGCUCACCAAGGCGACGAUCCCUAGCUGGUUUGAGAGGAUGAUCAGCCACACUGGGACUGAGACACGGCCCAGACUCCUACGGGAGGCAGCAGUGGGGAAUAUUGCACAAUGGGCGCAAGCCUGAUGCAGCCAUGCCGCGUGUGUGAAGAAGGCCUUCGGGUUGUAAAGCACUUUCAGUCAGGAGGAAAGGUUAACGGUUAAUACCCGUUAGCUGUGACGUUACUGACAGAAGAAGCACCGGCUAACUCCGUGCCAGCAGCCGCGGUAAUACGGAGGGUGCGAGCGUUAAUCGGAAUUACUGGGCGUAAAGCGUACGCAGGCGGUUUGUUAAGCGAGAUGUGAAAGCCCCGGGCUCAACCUGGGAACUGCAUUUCGAACUGGCAAACUAGAGUGUGAUAGAGGGUGGUAGAAUUUCAGGUGUAGCGGUGAAAUGCGUAGAGAUCUGAAGGAAUACCGAUGGCGAAGGCAGCCACCUGGGUCAACACUGACGCUCAUGUACGAAAGCGUGGGGAGCAAACGGGAUUAGAUACCCCGGUAGUCCACGCCGUAAACGAUGUCUACUAGAAGCUCGGAGCCUCG